RNAcentral lists this long non-coding RNA (321 nucleotides) under Mytilus galloprovincialis (Mediterranean mussel). Lineage: Eukaryota; Metazoa; Mollusca; Bivalvia; Mytilida; Mytilidae. The record is from RNAcentral.
AUAAUAUUUCCAAUGAUGGAAUUCAAUGUUCUCAAAGUGUCUAAAGUUAAAUUGUUUGAAAGUUCAAUAUUGGAUUUGCACUAUAACACUGGUCAUGAUCAUGACUACUAGUAAUUCUGAUGUUGGCAAAUUGCCCCCUUUUUUUGACGAUUUAAUCCAAAAAAAAUAAUUUUGAGAAAUGAGAUUUUUUUGGCGCACAAAAGGGGACACACGCCCCUAAAGACCCCUAGAUCCGCCAAUUUACAAAUUGGAACACUAUUCUUGUAUGUCAAAUUAAAAUGUUUUUAUUAAUUUAAUGAUCAUCCGUAACGUUUAUUAUUG